RNAcentral lists this ribosomal RNA (253 nucleotides) under uncultured bacterium. Its description in RNAcentral is "partial 16S ribosomal RNA". It matches the Rfam family "Bacterial small subunit ribosomal RNA", at positions 524 to 776 of the family's 1533-position model. The record is from RNAcentral.
UACAGAGGUCUCAAGCGUUAUUCGGAUUCAUUGGGCGUAAAGGGUGCGUAGGUGGCGUGGUAAGUCGGGUGUGAAAUUUCGGAGCUUAACUCCGAAACUGCAUUCGAUACUGCUGUGCUUGAGGACUGGAGAGGAGACUGGAAUUUACGGUGUAGCAGUGAAAUGCGUAGAGAUCGUAAGGAAGACCAGUGGCGAAGGCGGGUCUCUGGACAGUUCCUGACGCUGAGGCACGAAGGCCAGGGGAGCAAACGGG